Molecule: long non-coding RNA, 301 nt
Organism: Macrobrachium nipponense
Lineage: Eukaryota; Metazoa; Arthropoda; Malacostraca; Decapoda; Palaemonidae
Exons: 3
Source: RefSeq, a predicted model, not a curated record
UGGCUCUACAGGACUUCUCUAGAUCCAGCUGGAUUUCUUUCAGGAUUCUUUAAAUUGAACUCUUAUGGCUUCGUAUUUGAUGCUGGAACUCUUGAGCGUUGAUGGAAAUUGACUUGAACCAAGAAUGAAACGUUAACCGGGGUUAGGAUACUUCUUUCAUGAAAGCAGCCUUUGGUCAUUAGACCUGAGGAGUCCUACAGAAAAGCGGGGUUCAUCUCGAACCCGUCGCAGAAUAGUAGGCUCGAAGAAUGCACUCUUCCACCAAAGAACAGGCGAUGUCAAAUACCGAUAAGAGAUUGCC